This 558-nucleotide long non-coding RNA is filed under the name Dromaius novaehollandiae (emu). RNAcentral describes it as "lncRNA (ENSDNVG00000006342.1)". Lineage: Eukaryota; Metazoa; Chordata; Aves; Casuariiformes; Dromaiidae. The record is from RNAcentral.
GAGUUAAUAUUAUUGUUAAUAAACUUCUUUGGCUCUUUACAGUAACGAAAGAAAAAAUGAGAAAAGAUGCAUCUUGACUUUGCUUACCAGCAUCUGUGGCACUUUGUCCUGUACUUUGUCCUGAGUUUUGUAUUGGAUACUGGAAAGUGUUUUGCAGCCUGCAGCAUGUAACAGUAUAUGGAAGAGCUAUUCUGUGGAUUCUCCUCAAUGAGACAUCCAGGAUGGCUGCCGGUGACUGCAAGGAACUACAUGCAGUGGUCCAUAUGCCACAUUUCAGUGCUCGUUUCUUGCCAGGUAGCCUUGAUCUUAAGAAGAUAUACUGAGGAAGAGGUGCUGAAAGAGAUUAGCACUAGUGCCAUAAUCAACUUCUGCUUUUCUGGAAUAAUAGGUCAGGUAAACAGUAAACUUUAAUAUUCAGGCACAAGCCAAAAUACAUGAAUUUAUCCGUAGUGUAAUGAUAGUAGAAAACCUCUAACUAUCUUUGGCAUUUUUGGCUCAUUCAGAAACUCUUGUAAUUACAAAUAAUAAACAUCUAUAAAGUGAGAGUCUAUUUAGACA